AGUACACUGAAUGACAAGGUAGAAAGUACACUGAAUGACAGGGUAGAAAGUACACUGAAUGACAAGGUAGAAAGUACACUGAAUGACAGGGUAGAAAGUACACUGAAUGACAGGGUAGAAAGUACACUGAAUGACAGGGUAGAAAGUACACUGAAUGACAAGGUAGAAAGUACACUGAAUGACAGGGUAGAAAGUACACUGAAUGACAGGGUAGAAAGUACACUGAAUGACAGGGUAGAAAGUACACUGAAUGACAGGGUAGAAAGUACACUGAAUGACAGGGUAGAAAGUACACUGAAUGACAGGGUAGAAAGUACACUGAAUGACAAGGUAGAAAGUACACUGAAUGACAGGGUAGAAAGUACACUGAAUGACAGGGUAGAAAGUACACUGAAUGACAAGGUAGAAAGUACACUGAAUGACAGGGUAGAAAGUACACUGAAUGACAGGGUAGAAAGUACACUGAAUGACAAGGUAGAAAGUACACUGAAUGACAAGGUAGAAAGUACACUGAAUGACAGGGUAGAAAGUACACUGAAUGACAGGGUAGAAAGUACACUGAAUGACAGGGUAGAAAGUACACUGAAUGACAAGGUAGAAAGUACACUGAAUGACAAGGUAGAAAGUACACUGAAUGACAGGGUAGAAAGUACAUUGAAUGACAGGGUAGAAAGUACACUGAGUGGGCCUGCAUCUCUGUGGUGUCCAUACCCUGACAAAUUGAGUGUGUUUUGAGGGCAAACGGGGGUGUAACUCAAUAUCAGGAAGGUGUUCCUAAUGUUUUGGACAGUCAGUGUACAGUGCAUGGUUAGGAGUACACAAAUGUCCUGUCCACGAUAGAGGAACAGAAGAGAAUACCUACGUAAGGGCUUCGUGACGCAUUCAUAACCCAUACAUAAUGCAUUCAUAAGCAGUACAUAAUGCAUUCAUAAGCAGUACAUAAUGCAUUCAUAAGCAGUGCAUAAUGCAUUCAUAAGCAGUACAUAAUGCAUUCAUAACGCAUUCAUAAGCAGUACAUAAUGCAUUCAUAAGCAGUAGAUAAUGCAUUCAUAAGCAGUACAUAAUGCAUUCAUAAGCAGUACAUAAUGCAUUCAUAAGCAGUACAUAAUGCAUUCAUAACGCAUUCAUAAGCAGUACAUAAUGCAUUCAUAAGCAGUACAUAAUGCAUUCAUAACCCAUACAUAAUCCAUUCAUAAGCAGCACAUAAUGCAUUCAUAAGCAGUACAUAAUGCAUUCAUAAGCAGUACAUAAUGCAUUCAUAAGCAGUACAUAAUGCAUUCAUAACCCAUACAUAAUCCAUUCAUAAGCAGCACAUAAUGCAUUCAUAAGCAGUACAUAAUGCAUUCAUAAGCAGUACAUAAUGCAUUCAUAACCCAUACAUAAUGCAUUCAUAAGCAGCACAUAAUGCAUUCAUAAGCAGUACAUAAUGCAUUCAUAAGCAGUACAUAAUGCAUUCAUAAGCAGUACAUAAUGCAUUCAUAAGCAGUACAUAAUGCAUUCAUAAGCAGUACAUAAUGCAUUCAUAAGCAGUACAUAAUGCAUUCAUAAGCAGUACAUAAUGCAUUCAUAAGCAGUACAUAAUGCAUUCAUAAGCAGCACAUAAUGCAUUCAUAAGCAGCACAUAAUGCAUUCAUAAGCAGCACAUAAUGCAUUCAUAAGCAGCACAUAAUGCAUUCAUAAGCAGUACAUAAUGCAUUCAUAAGCAGCACAUAAUGCAUUCAUAAGCAGUACAUAAUGCAUUCAUAAGCAGUGCAUAAUGCAUUCAUAAGCAGUACAUAAUGCAUUCAUAAGCAGUGCAUAAUGCAUUCAUAAGCAGUACAUAAUGCAUUCAUAAGCAGUACAUAAUGCAUUCAUAAGCAGUGCAUAAUGCAUUCAUAAGCAGUGCAUAAUGCAUUCAUAAGCAGCACAUAAUGCAUUCAUAAGCAGUACAUAAUGCAUUCAUAAGCAGUACAUAAUGCAUUCAUAAGCAGCACAUAAUGCAUUCAUAAGCAGUGCAUAAUGCAUUCAUAAGCAGUACAUAAUGCAUUCAUAAGCAGUACAUAAUGCAUUCAUAAGCAGUACAUAAUGCAUUCAUAAGCAGUGCAUAAUGCAUUCAUAAGCAGUGCAUAAUGCAUUCAUAAGCAGCACAUAAUGCAUUCAUAAGCAGUACAUAAUGCAUUCAUAAGCAGUACAUAAUGCAUUCAUAAGCAGUACAUAAUGCAUUCAUAAGCAGCACAUAAUGCAUUCAUAAGCAGUGCAUAAUGCAUUCAUAAGCAGCACAUAAUGCAUUCAUAAGCAGUGCAUAAUGCAUUCAUAAGCAGUACAUAAUGCAUUCAUAAGCAGUGCAUAAUGCAUUCAUAAGCAGCACAUAAUGCAUUCAUAAGCAGUACAUAAUGCAUUCAUAAGCAGUACAUAAUGCAUUCAUAAGCAGUACAUAAUGCAUUCAUAAGCAGUACAUAAUGCAUUCAUAAGCAGUACAUAAUGCAUUCAUAAGCAGUACAUAAUGCAUUCAUAAGCAGUGCAUAAUGCAUUCAUAAGCAGUACAUAAUGCAUUCAUAAGCAGCACAUAAUGCAUUCCACAAGUUGACAUGUUUGUUGUCACAGUGAGUCAUGUGUUAAGGUCCUAUAGCUCCGUUGGUAGAGUACGGCGCUUGAAACGGUAGGAUAGUGUGUUUGAUUCCCGGGACCCAUCAUAUGGGAACAUGAAUGCACGCGUGACCGUGUUUGCUUUGGAUAAAAUCGUACAUACUAAAAUGGCAUGUAAAUAUAGUUAAAGGCACUUGUACUUUAAUGAUCCAUGUGCAGUUGUUGAUACUUUUGUGUCACCACAUUGAUAGAAUGGAAACAUUUAAUCUGUCUCUUGAAUGUGUUGGGGAGCAGUGCUAGACCUGAGUUUAUUCCAUGUAUACCAAAUCAAAAUGUAUUUAUCUCAUGCGCCGAAUACAACAGGUGUUGACUUUACCGUGAAAUGCUUACUUACAAGCCCUUAACCCUUAGCCCUCUACUUUCUUCACUGCCUCAGC
This is a long non-coding RNA of Oncorhynchus keta (chum salmon), 3002 nucleotides long. RefSeq lists it as uncharacterized. The record is from RefSeq and is a predicted model, not a curated record. The transcript has 3 exons. NCBI's taxonomy places the organism in Eukaryota, Metazoa, Chordata, Actinopteri, Salmoniformes, Salmonidae.